GGAGGGGGAGCGGUGCGGAGCCCAUCUGGUGCGGAAAGCGGCCCCUCGGGCUGCGGGCAGGUAGCGGGGCGCUGCCACUCGCACGUGUCGGCGGCAGAACGGCAUUUCUUCAGCGAGGUUUGCGGUACGGUUUCAAAGGAGCCAAAGGAAAGUCUGAGAAAUGCUGUCACAGUCCCAAGAGGUCUCCUGAGAUUGGUGACAUCAGAAAUGCUGCACUGAGAUUGAUUUUACCUAGAACAGGCAUCAAAGCCUCAGAAAUGCCCUGCUAAUGGAUGUUAUAGGAAUACAUGUUCAGAAGGCUUUCAAAUGCUUUACACAGACUGAGAGAGUGCUCAGGCCGUGCUGAUUUCCUCUCUUCCCCAAUCAAGGAUAUCUAAGAUGUCUAACCAAGCGGGUUGCCCAAGUAGUGAGAAAGUGAAACAGUGACCUGGCGUAGGCUCUAAUUAUCUGCUUAACCACAUUAAUGCUGAGAGGCAAAUCACUUUCCAUAGGAGGUCACUGAGCCUACGG
This 510-nucleotide long non-coding RNA is filed under the name Gallus gallus (chicken). RNAcentral describes it as "long non-coding RNA NONGGAT006481". Lineage: Eukaryota; Metazoa; Chordata; Aves; Galliformes; Phasianidae. The record is from RNAcentral.